UACGUAGGGGGCAAGCGUUGUCCGGAAUUAUUGGGCGUAAAGAGCGUGUAGGCGGCCAGAUAAGUCCGCUGUGAAAUCUCGAGGCUCAACUUCGAGCUGUCGGUGGAAACUAUCUGGCUAGAGUCCGGAAGAGGAGAAUGGAAUUCCUGGUGUAGCGGUGAAAUGCGCAGAUAUCGGGAAGAACACCCGUGGCGAAGGCGGCUCUCUGGGACGGUACUGACGCUGAGACGCGAAAGCGUGGGGAGCGAACAGG
RNAcentral lists this ribosomal RNA (253 nucleotides) under uncultured bacterium. RNAcentral describes it as "partial 16S ribosomal RNA". It matches the Rfam family "Bacterial small subunit ribosomal RNA", at positions 524 to 776 of the family's 1533-position model. The record is from RNAcentral.